Molecule: long non-coding RNA, 1748 nt
Organism: Cyprinodon tularosa
Lineage: Eukaryota; Metazoa; Chordata; Actinopteri; Cyprinodontiformes; Cyprinodontidae
Exons: 4
Source: RefSeq, a predicted model, not a curated record
GAGAGAGAGAGAGAGAGAGAGAGAGAGGGGGGAGGGGACCCACGACACAGCAGCUUCCUCUAUACUGUCAUUCAAGUGGGAAGAUGCUGAAUGAGAUGCCUGCUCGCUGCAGGCUUUUUUCCUUUCCUUUUUAUUUUUGAAUUGGAUCAACUUGUGCAGCUUUGAAGACGCGUUUCGCAGGGUGAGAUUCCUGGACUCUAGGUUUUGGUCAUACAUGAGAGAUCCUGAUACGUGGGAUUUAUUCACUUUUGAUUCCUUGGAUACUUAAGGGAAGUCCUUCAGAAAAAAACUCUCAUCUCAAGUGACCUGAGGAGCAGAGGUCAGCAGAGGGGUCACAUCAUCACUCCCAUGUUCGAGCUUGAGUAGAGGAAGAGGAGGAGGAGGCAGUGGAGGAGGAAAAGAGACACAGAGUGGGUGGAAGAAUGGAAGGACAGAGGGAUGGAAGCAGUUUGAGGAGGUGGUUGGAAGCGGCUGAACCCAGAGCAGGUGAACGUAGCUGUGGAUUGCCAUGGGCUUUCUGUCGACAUCCUCUUGUGGGCCUAGUUGCUCUGCACCGGGAUCCCGAAGAAACCAGCAGGAGCCAGCCAAAAGCUGCAGCGAAGUGGGCAGGCUAGGCCAGGCAAGCCAGAGAGGGGCAGGUGAACCGGGUGAGCCAAGCGCUUGUUCCCGUCGGCUAGGAGCUUGCUCUGUAGAGUGGAGCAGCGUGGAGCAGCAAAAAUCAAUACAGAGGAGAGAGGCAAGCAGAGGUUGCCCAACACUGCCUGCAGGCCUCAGAGCCAAGAGACCAACCACCACCUCUACUCCAAGCUCCUUUCUCCAGCUCUCCUUCUAUCUCUCUGCUGGAGACCCAGCACCCGCAAGGGCCAGGGCCCUCACCCCGCAGCUGCCCUAAUCUCAGUCUGUUUGGCAGAAUAUGCACAUGUGUAUGAAGAAAACAGAAAGAGGCAGAAAUCUAUUCUUGUCUUUGGUUUAAAUGGACAUUUUCCAGCUCAUCUUUGUUAAACUUUACGAAAGACACAGGGAAAUGGUUGAAGGAUGGGUUUUUACGUCCUGAUGCUUUACCUUCCUGCUCCCAUGCUGCUCUUAGUCAUUCCACAUUCACCUUUUCUUAAUGAGAACGCUACAUGGGAAGUUACGGCUCAGUGCUGUUUCCAAGCACGUAUAGCGCACAGUAUUCCUAAGAUCUCCUGAGCCCGGAUGAAAGGACAAUUUGAAGUUUUUUCCUCUCAUCUACUGUAUCAGGCAGAAGCUGUCUUUUCACCUUAGAUUUUCUUACCUGCACAACUGCAGCUCCCAUCAGAGGAUAUGGCAGUGCAGUAUUGAUCGGAGAGGUGGAAGAGAGAAAGGCGGAUCUUUUCCUCACUGUUUGUGUGGCUGAAAGGGGGGAUACCUGAAGUACACUUUCAUGCUGUGCUGCUAGGAUUCAGUGUCAGCACAGGUGAAUGACUGCGAAUUAAACCAAACUUAAAGUAAAAAGGGACCCCUGGUUUGACAGACACCUUCCUCCUGUGCAAAUACAAUCAUUUGAAGCUUGAUUCUUAGUCACCAUAAGAAAAAUGACAGGAGAGAAACAUUCUGCACAUGUUUCCUGGAAGAAGAAGCAUAAGAUUUUAUGUUUUUCAUGAUCUGGAUUGAUGCUCCUGGGCAAAAUGACAGUUUCCCAUAAAUUACAGAAUUAACCUUCAGUUUCACCACUUUUGAUGCCAUCGUGAGAAUUAAUCAGGAGUCACCCCAACAUUGGCUUUAAA